UACGUAGGGUGCAGGCGUUAAUCGGAAUUACUGGGCGUAAAGCGUGCGCAGGCGGUUAUGCAAGACAGACGUGAAAUCCCCGGGCUCAACCUGGGAACUGCAUUUGAGACUGCAUGGCUAGAGUACGGUAGAGGGGGAUGGAAUUCCGCGUGUAGCAGUGAAAUGCGUAGAUAUGCGGAGGAACACCGAUGGCGAAGGCAAUCCCCUGGACCUGUACUGACGCUCAUGCACGAAAGCGUGGGGAGCAAACAGG
Molecule: ribosomal RNA, 253 nt
Filed under: uncultured bacterium
Lineage: Bacteria
Description: partial 16S ribosomal RNA
Rfam family: Bacterial small subunit ribosomal RNA
Source: RNAcentral